RNAcentral lists this transfer RNA (74 nucleotides) under Marmota monax (woodchuck). RNAcentral's name for it is "tRNA.Thr". The record is from RNAcentral. Lineage: Eukaryota; Metazoa; Chordata; Mammalia; Rodentia; Sciuridae.
GCAGAGAAUAUGGCUCAGUGGUAGAGUGCUGGCCUAGUAUGUGCACAGCUCUGGGUUCCAUCCCCAGCACUGCA